This 5903-nucleotide unclassified non-coding RNA is filed under the name Helicoverpa zea (corn earworm). RNAcentral describes it as "uncharacterized LOC124632932, transcript variant X2". Lineage: Eukaryota; Metazoa; Arthropoda; Insecta; Lepidoptera; Noctuidae. The record is from RNAcentral.
AACUCGUUUGCGUUACGGCUGGGAUUGGUUUUCUUUCUUGGCGUUUUAAUUUUGUCUACGAAAACCUAUUUUUAUGUGACCAAAACAAAAUAUAAAUCGGCAUCAAAUUUCGUAGCCGUAAUGAAUUGGCUGAGCGGUUCGCGUCCUGAAUCAUGUGUCGUUUUGAAUUGAUUAAAUAAAUGUAAAUAAUAAAACAAUGAGAGGUCGGUGUUAAGUGAUUUCUCCGCCCACUGCAAUCAUUAUGCGAUUAGUGAGACGGGAAUUGAGUGUUAAGUCGAUGCUGCGGGAUAUCUGAGGAUGUCUGGGGAAGGCGAGCGGGCGUCGCGCCCGAACUCGCUGGUGCUGGAGGCGCCACCCCCGGAGCGCGAGCCGCUGCACUUCGACGUGCAGCUGGUGGGAGCGCCGCCGGAGGUGGAGCAGCUCGUCAACAACAUCAAACAAGUCGCUGAAGACUUUCUAUAUCACUGGAAAACUUUUCCUAUUGUUCUCCCACCAUCCCGCUUCACCGGCGCCGGGAACCGACCUUCAGACAUCAUCGUAGCACCGCCAUGCGACGAACUGGACGCUGCAGCACUAGACGCGGGGGUAGAACCUCACCCCCUGUCGCCCAAGCAGUUGCACGCUAUACGCGAGAAGGGAGAGUUCGAGGUUCCUUCCCGCCAUUUCCCGGGUCAGACGCACGUUUGGCGUGUAGCUGGCUGGUUACAACGUGGCCGUGUGAGAGCUCGUGAAGAAUUGUACUGUCAUGUGGCGCGGGCUCUGGCCCUCAUUGUUGUCGUGGCUCGCGAUAGACUGCUGAGGGAUGAGCCACUGUCAGUUAUUGCUGGGGCCAAGUCUUUGCUUCAAGGAUUGCAUAGACUUCUGGAUCUGGCUUUUGGAAUGCCGUCUUUAGAAGCUCGCGACCUGGACAAGAAGAUAAGAGAAGAAAGGUCACGUUAUUUAGUAGCUGAGCUGAUAUGUAAGCCGGAGCAUCAAGAAGACAUAACAGCAUUAGCGGCGUGGGUGACGCGAGCGAUGCGUCGCGCGGCCGCCGAGAAGACUGACGCGCGAGAGCCGCCGCGCCCCGCGCCGCCCGUGCCCUGCCUCUACACCACGCCACAGAAGACACAGGUGGACUUACGCCUCUACAGACGCGAGUUAGUGCGUCGCGCGGCCAGCACGUUACAAGCGCUGUUGGAACGCGAGGCUCGCGGCUGGUUCCUACACUUUAGGGAGCGCCGAGCAGCACAGCUCGCCAGUCAGAAGAUGCCUAUGAAGGAUAUUGAAGAGGAGGUACGCGAAGCAGCAAUGCGUGAGUACGUGUCGCGAGUGUGCGCGGCGGUGCUGGCCAGCGAACCGCUUGCGGCGCUAGGACCUGACGUGCCCGCGCUGUUGGCGGCCCAGCUACGAGCCUCUGCUAUUGUUACCAGAGCCGAAGAAGGAGUCCGCAGAAAACUAGAAGCGAGCUUAGCAACCGCCGAAGCGCGAAUAUGUGCAAGCCACCCAAUCCUCUCCCGCGCCGACGCGUGGCGCAAGGAGAAGCUAGCCGCUGCAGCGCUGCGCUUGAAGAACGAGCUGCGCUGGAUGCCCAUGGAGGACGCCGCUGCAGCGAUGCAAGCGCACAAGCUGCAUCAGCAUCGGUACUUCUUGCUGAGGGAUCUAGCGUUCUUGAGGGAUCGGGAGCCGCUGCUUAUGAAGGAGCUGCGCAGCGCGGUAUCUCCUACGCGAUCAUUCACAUGGGCGCGUCGCAUCUGGCGACCAGCUCGCUGGGUCGUCACCCGCCACUUCCGAGGCCGCCGGGAGCGAGUGCCCACAGUACUGUCGACCAGAGCCACUUCUAUAGUGACGCCGCGGUCUGACCCCUCGCAGCCCGUGUUUCUGGUGUCCCGGGACCGCGCCCGCAGCACCAGCACGCGAUGGCCAGCCUGGCGACUGCUCAACCUCGCACACAGAGCGUGGUGCUGGUGUUGGAACAUAAUGUACGUGCUGGGAGUGCUGGUGCCGUGGUGCUCGCCGCUCUCGCUGCGGACGCUGCUCUGCGUCAAGCCCUUCGUACCGGACUAUGAGUUGUCGCAGGUAAACGGAACACUAUUCCCGAAGCGCAGCAGUGAGACGCAGACGAUGUGGUCGCGACUGCUCACUCUGUGGCGAUACGUGUCCAAGGAGAGGACGCGGUUCGAGACUGAACCUGAUACAGGUUUACUAGGCAAAGGCCUAUCCCGCUGCGCCCACCGCGUGUGGACAUACGGCAUCGUAGGCGGCGCCGGCUCUCUCCUACUCCUACUCCUACUGCCGUUACUAGUACUCCUAGCAUGCACCACGUGCGGGACGCUAGCUGUGCUAGCACCGCUGUGGGCGCCGCCACUGGCGCUGGCGACGCAUGCCACUAACGCUGUACUGUAUGACCUGGACUGUCCUGAUCCGGAUCGACUCAAUAGAUGGUUCGUCCUGCUAGAAGUAUUACUAUGGCGCGUGGGAGUGUUGGGCGUACUACAAAUUGUCGCCGCGUUGAUAUGCGCUCUGCUUUUAUGUCCGCUUGGCGCGUUACUAUUGCUCGUCGGCGGUGUGUCCUGGUGGGGAGUCCGCGGCGCGUGGGAGGCGGCGGCGUGGCGCGGCGUGCUGGCGCGCGGCGCCCGCGUGCCCGCGCACGACUCCGCCUUCUGCCGCCGCGUGCGCGGCCCGGGGCUGCACGCCACCACCUACUAUCAGCUCACGAGCGGUCAGGCGCUAGCAGCAGUGUGUGCUCGCGCGGAGCUAGAAGCGCUGGCCACGUGGCAAGCGGAACUCGAGCACGCUAUAGAGCGACCGCUCAGAGACUACGAGCAUUUCGUGCAAGCGUGCUUCGGACCAUUCUCUGUGCAGAUCGCUAAGACUGGAGCAUACAAACAACUGGAAAAGGAGUGUGGCUCACUAACAGCGACGUUACGUGAGAAAGUGAGCGCGCGACGCAGAGAGCUCGCGCUCGGCCUCAGUGACACAGCUCGCGCUAGAGUUAGACUUACCUCGCACGAUCUUAGACGCUGUGUGCAGGCGUGUGCACAGGAGCUGUCACGCGCGUGCGGCGGCGCGGCGCGCUCGGACGAGUGGUGGGCGGCGCGCGGGCUCGACGUCGCCGACUGGCAUGCGCUCGCUGCUAACACACUGGUAGAGGUAUGUACACAUGUGUGUACUGCACAGCGCCGUGCUGCGUGUGCACAGGAGCUGUCGGACGAGUGGUGGGCGGCGCGCGGGCUCGACGUCGCCGACUGGCAUGCGCUCGCUGCUAACACACUGGUAGAGGUAUGUACACAUGUGUGUACUGCACAGCGCCGUGCUGCGUGUGCACAGGAGCUGUCGGACGAGUGGUGGGCGGCGCGCGGGCUCGACGUCGCCGACUGGCAUGCGCUCGCUGCUAACACACUGGUAGAGGUAUGUACACAUGUGUGUACUGCACAGCGCCGUGCUGCGUGUGCACAGGAGCUGUCGGACGAGUGGUGGGCGGCGCGCGGGCUCGACGUCGCCGACUGGCAUGCGCUCGCUGCUAACACACUGGUAGAGGUAUGUACACAUGUGUGUACUGCACAGCGCCGUGCUGCGUGUGCACAGGAGCUGUCGGACGAGUGGUGGGCGGCGCGCGGGCUCGACGUCGCCGACUGGCAUGCGCUCGCUGCUAACACACUGGUAGAGGUAUGUACACAUGUGUGUACUGCACAGCGCCGUGCUGCGUGUGCACAGGAGCUGUCGGACGAGUGGUGGGCGGCGCGCGGGCUCGACGUCGCCGACUGGCAUGCGCUCGCUGCUAACACACUGGUAGAGGUAUGUACACAUGUGUGUACUGCACAGCGCCGUGCUGCGUGUGCACAGGAGCUGUCGGACGAGUGGUGGGCGGCGCGCGGGCUCGACGUCGCCGACUGGCAUGCGCUCGCUGCUAACACACUGGUAGAGGUAUGUACACAUGUGUGUACUGCACAGCGCCGUGCUGCGUGUGCACAGGAGCUGUCGGACGAGUGGUGGGCGGCGCGCGGGCUCGACGUCGCCGACUGGCAUGCGCUCGCUGCUAACACACUGGUAGAGGUAUGUACACAUGUGUGUACUGCACAGCGCCGUGCUGCGUGUGCACAGGAGCUGUCGGACGAGUGGUGGGCGGCGCGCGGGCUCGACGUCGCCGACUGGCAUGCGCUCGCUGCUAACACACUGGUAGAGGUAUGUACACAUGUGUGUACUGCACAGCGCCGUGCUGCGUGUGCACAGGAGCUGUCGGACGAGUGGUGGGCGGCGCGCGGGCUCGACGUCGCCGACUGGCAUGCGCUCGCUGCUAACACACUGGUAGAGGUAUGUACACAUGUGUGUACUGCACAGCGCCGUGCUGCGUGUGCACAGGAGCUGUCGGACGAGUGGUGGGCGGCGCGCGGGCUCGACGUCGCCGACUGGCAUGCGCUCGCUGCUAACACACUGGUAGAGGUGUUCGACGCGGAGGUGCUGGUGGCGCUGGAGGCGCGCGAGGCGCGGCUGGCGCUGGAGCGCGGCGAGGCGGAGCGCGCGUGGGCGGCGCGCUGCGGGCGCGACGCGGCGCCGCCCGACGUGCUCGCCGAGCGCGACGACUGGGGCGCCGCUACACCGUCAGGUGUGUGGUGUGAGUGGGGCGGUAGUGCCUUGCCCCGGGUGUCGCUGCCGACGCUGGAGGUGGUGGCGUUCAGCCCGAGAGCCCCGCUACACCCGCCCGUGCCGCACCCCGCCGCUGUAGCUCUCGUGCUGCACAACCGCGAGUCUGACAACCCAGUGCCGCUGGACUCGGAGCUGUGCGCCGAGAUACUGCGCAGUCUAGAGGACGCGCCCGACUGCGACGAUAAACAUGACUCGGUGGAGCGUUACCGCGGCGGCGGCAGCUCGGGCUCCAGCUCCGGCAGCGAGGGCUCGCCCGACGACGACGCGCACGACCUCGCGCCGCCGCCAGCGUUACCCACGCCUGACGACUCGCUCUGCAGGUAUGUAUCAUGUGUAUGUUACACUCAGACGACGACGCGCACGACCUCGCGCCGCCGCCAGCGUUACCCACGCCUGACGACUCGCUCUGCAGGUAUGUAUCAUGUGUAUGUUACACUCAGACGACGACGCGCACGACCUCGCGCCGCCGCCAGCGUUACCCACGCCUGACGACUCGCUCUGCAGGUAUGUAUCAUGUGUAUGUUACACUCAGACGACGACGCGCACGACCUCGCGCCGCCGCCAGCGUUACCCACGCCUGACGACUCGCUCUGCAGGUAUGUAUCAUGUGUAUGUUACACUCAGACGACGACGCGCACGACCUCGCGCCGCCGCCAGCGUUACCCACGCCUGACGACUCGCUCUGCAGGUAUGUAUCAUGUGUAUGUUACACUCAGACGACGACGCGCACGACCUCGCGCCGCCGCCAGCGUUACCCACGCCUGACGACUCGCUCUGCAGGUAUGUAUCAUGUGUAUGUUACACUCAGACGACGACGCGCACGACCUCGCGCCGCCGCCAGCGUUACCCACGCCUGACGACUCGCUCUGCAGGUAUGUAUCAUGUGUAUGUUACACUCAGACGACGACGCGCACGACCUCGCGCCGCCGCCAGCGUUACCCACGCCUGACGACUCGCUCUGCAGGUAUGUAUCAUGUGUAUGUUACACUCAGACGACGACGCGCACGACCUCGCGCCGCCGCCAGCGUUACCCACGCCUGACGACUCGCUCUGCAGGUAUGUAUCAUGUGUAUGUUACACUCAGACGACGACGCGCACGACCUCGCGCCGCCGCCAGCGUUACCCACGCCUGACGACUCGCUCUGCAGGGUGGGCAGCGGCGCGAUGUGUCGCUGGACGCUGACGGGGCGCGGCGUGCGGCUGCGCGCGGACCUGGCGUCGCCCGAGGACGUCACGCUCGACACCGAGCGGCACCACGGCACCUCCGUCUGAACACAGCC